Molecule: non-coding RNA, 446 nt
Organism: Pelobates cultripes (western spadefoot toad)
Lineage: Eukaryota; Metazoa; Chordata; Amphibia; Anura; Pelobatidae
Source: the annotation of a GenBank genome assembly
GUCACUUUAAAAAAAAAAUCCAAAUCAAUUGCGAUAGCAUGCUUUAUAACAAAGGGGGAAAUGAAUUGAGUGUACAAAAGGUAUACAUUUUAAUAUAAUUUCACUCAUAUUUGGCAGUGUAACAGUUAACCGUUAUAUGUGCUAGAAUCAGCAAUGUCUCAAUUUCGGCUACAAAUAUUGGGCAGCAAUUGGUUUACUCUUAUCUGGUCUCUGAUCAUCAUUUAAAUUCCAGUUAAAACCUGGAUUGUAAGCGCAUGUAAGCAGAGCUCUCUCACGUGUCUACUUUCUGUUUAUAUUAUUUUGUGGCCUCGGCUUAGAGUGGAAUUGAAGGACUGUCUUUUGUUUGUGUGGUUUUCUGGUGUAGUUUUCUGUGUGCAGCUCCUAUCUACCCCUGGAUUACUGUAUGUCAUUAUUUUGUUUGUCAAUUACUUGCUGCAGUGCUAAAU